This 429-nucleotide ribosomal RNA is filed under the name Chloroflexota bacterium. RNAcentral describes it as "Chloroflexi bacterium partial 16S ribosomal RNA". It matches the Rfam family "Bacterial small subunit ribosomal RNA", at positions 355 to 776 of the family's 1533-position model. The record is from RNAcentral. Lineage: Bacteria; Bacillati; Chloroflexota.
UGGGGAAUAUUGCACAAUGGGCGCAAGCCUGAUGCAGCCAUGCCGCGUGUAUGAAGAAGGCCUUCGGGUUGUAAAGUACUUUCAGUCGGGAGGAAGGUGGUAAGGUUAAUAACCUUAUCAAUUGACGUUACCGACAGAAGAAGCACCGGCUAACUCCGUGCCAGCAGCCGCUGUAAUACGGAGGGUGCAAGCGUUAAUCGGAAUUACUGGGCGUAAAGCGCACGCAGGCGGUUGAUUGAGUCAGAUGUGAAAUCCCCGGGCUUAACCCGGGAAUUGCAUCUGAUACUGGUCAGCUAGAGUCUUGUAGAGGGGGGUAGAAUUCCAUGUGUAGCGGUGAAAUGCGUAGAGAUGUGGAGGAAUACCGGUGGCGAAGGCGGCCCCCUGGACAAAGACUGACGCUCAGGUGCGAAAGCGUGGGGAGCAAACAGG